GAAAAAUUCAAAAACAAUCAGCAAUCUCCAUGGUCGACUAGCGAUGAAGAUCUAAGAGACUGCAUUUCCUAAUGUUGUUGAUGUAGCAGUUUUUAUAACUAGGAAAUACGAAGACGCUAAUCUGGUAAUUCGUAUAAGAUGAGAGAUCAAAAAAUGUUGUCAUAACCUCGACAGAAGAAUCGAUAUUGAAGUUGUGAUUGCUGUCGCUGACAAAUAGUACCCUUGAGCUUGCAUUCCCUUCAAAGAAAAAAGCGAAGAUGCAGCUGAAAUAUCUUGCAGCCCAGAGAAACCAACAUCAUAAGAUAUACUACCAUCAGCUUUGAAGAGUCCGAAGUUCUUCUCUGAUGAUUGACCUGGCUUUUGAUACUCAUUGAAGAGUGCAAAAAUAUAUGCCUUCAACAUUUUUUUCGGCCUCAAUGGAGUUCCUUUCCUCUUGGCGAGCCUUUUACGCAGAUUAUAAUUAUAUGUUCUAGCAUUACUUGGGGUGGCAGCAGGUUCAUUCUCAUCCCCAUCAGAGGCCCAGCCUGUUUCCGUAACAAUGACUUCCAUUUUCCUGAAACCAGCAUCCUCUAGAGCUGCAUAUGCUGCAUCAAUCUGAGCAUCGAGCAAGUUGUCAUAAUGUAGAUGAGUUUUAUUGUCAACAAUGCCUUCAUUUGGCUGAAAAAGAGCAUAAUUUAUGUCUAUUUUAUCUGAGUUGUACGUGUAAGCCAAAAAUGGAUAAGCAUUUAGACAGAACGGAGAUCCAAUUUUCGAGAAGAACUCUAAAAGUGGCUUCAUCAACUGAGCAACACCAUCUUUAAAUACACAAUAAGAAGGAGGGAACGAAUCAGCAAAAACAGCCUGCGAGUGUGCAGUCGAUAUCUGAACAACAUCACUUAUCCCAAGCUUUUUUGUUGCAUUGUAUACAUUCUUUACAGCAUUCAGAAGGGCUACCUCCAGUUCAUUGUCACUACCCCCCAAAACCUCAUUUCCAACAGCGAUGCCAACAAUGCGGGUAUCAGGAAGGAAUGCCUUCACAUUAUCUUUUACCCAAGUCAGAGCAUGAUCUGCAUUAGCACUCAUUUCUUUUACAAACCCAUUCGGAAGUCCAACCACUAGCUCAAGCCCU
This 1108-nucleotide unclassified non-coding RNA is filed under the name Hevea brasiliensis (rubber tree). The record is from RNAcentral. Lineage: Eukaryota; Viridiplantae; Streptophyta; Magnoliopsida; Malpighiales; Euphorbiaceae.